AUUGAACGCUGGCGGAAUGCUUUACACAUGCAAGUCGAACGGCAGCACGGACUUCGGUCUGGUGGCGAGUGGCGAACGGGUGAGUAAUGUAUCGGAACGUGCCCAGUCGUGGGGGAUAACGUAGUGAAAGUUACGCUAAUACCGCAUACGAUCUAUGGAUGAAAGCGGGGGAUCGCAAGACCUCGCGCGAUUGGAGCGGCCGAUAUCAGAUUAGGUAGUUGGUGGGGUAAAGGCCCACCAAGCCAACGAUCUGUAGCUGGUCUGAGAGGACGACCAGCCACACUGGAACUGAGACACGGUCCAGACUCCUACGGGAGGCAGCAGUGGGGAAUUUUGGACAAUGGGCGAAAGCAUGAUCCAGCCAUUCCGCGUGCAGGAUGAAGGCCCUCGGGUUGUAAACUGCUUUUGUACAGAACGAAAAGGUUUCUACUAAUACUAGGAGCUCAUGACGGUACUGUAAGAAUAAGCACCGGCUAACUACGUGCCAGCCGCCGCGGUAA
This 500-nucleotide ribosomal RNA is filed under the name uncultured bacterium. RNAcentral describes it as "partial 16S ribosomal RNA". It matches the Rfam family "Bacterial small subunit ribosomal RNA", at positions 30 to 523 of the family's 1533-position model. The record is from RNAcentral.